Molecule: ribosomal RNA, 814 nt
Filed under: uncultured bacterium
Lineage: Bacteria
Description: bacterial SSU rRNA
Rfam family: Bacterial small subunit ribosomal RNA
Source: RNAcentral
CAGUCGAACGGGAUCUUCGGAUUCUAGUGGCGGACGGGUGAGUAACGCGUAAGAAUCUAACUUCAGGACGGGGACAACAGUUGGAAACGACUGCUAAUACCCGAUAUGCCGCGAGGUGAAACCUAAUUGGCCUGAAGAAGAGCUUGCGUCUGAUUAGCUAGUUGGUGGGGUAAGAGCCUACCAAGGCGACGAUCAGUAGCUGGUCUGAGAGGAUGAGCAGCCACACUGGGACUGAGACACGGCCCAGGCUCCUACGGGAGGCAGCAGUGGGGAAUUUUCCGCAAUGGGCGAAAGCCUGACGGAGCAACGCCGCGUGAGGGAGGAAGGUCUUUGGAUUGUAAACCUCUUUUCUCAAGGAAGAAGUUCUGACGGUACUUGAGGAAUCAGCCUCGGCUAACUCCGUGCCAGCAGCCGCGGUAAUACGGGGGAGGCAAGCGUUAUCCGGAAUUAUUGGGCGUAAAGCGUCCGCAGGUGGUCAGCCAAGUCUGCUGUCAAAUCAGGUUGCUUAACGACCUAAAGGCGGUGGAAACUGGCAGACUAGAGAGCAGUAGGGGUAGCAGGAAUUCCCAGUGUAGCGGUGAAAUGCGUAGAGAUUGGGAAGAACAUCGGUGGCGAAAGCGUGCUACUGGGCUGUAUCUGACACUCAGGGACGAAAGCUAGGGGAGCGAAAGGGAUUAGAUACCCCUGUAGUCCUAGCCGUAAACGAUGGAUACUAGGCGUGGCUUGUAUCGACCCGAGCCGUGCCGAAGCUAACGCGUUAAGUAUCCCGCCUGGGGAGUACGCACGCAAGUGUGAAACUCAAAGGAAUUGACGG